This is a long non-coding RNA of Vicia villosa (hairy vetch), 432 nucleotides long. RefSeq lists it as uncharacterized. The record is from RefSeq and is a predicted model, not a curated record. Lineage: Eukaryota; Viridiplantae; Streptophyta; Magnoliopsida; Fabales; Fabaceae. The transcript has 5 exons.
UUGGAGAUGAAAAGGAGAAAUUGAGAACAUAUAAUGGUCCUGUGAAGGAUAAGAAAGUGAAACAGCCAAGUGGUAAAGGUGUGAAUGCAGGUUUGGUGAGAAAGAACAAAGUCGGGAAAGAUGAAGAGGUGGCAGCAACAGCGGCUGUUUUGAAUGGUACUUUGAGUUUAGACUCGAAUCUAGGCAGGCGGUUAAGAGCAGACUGUUGAAUGACAAGCACACUCGAUUGAACAAGCAAGCGGGAAAGUCUGAUGCAGUGUCUUCUGAAGCACCAAUAUUUAGCCAUAGCAUUGAAUGCUACAAGCAACGGUUAUUGGCAGUUAUAGCACUGAAUGCUACAAGCAAUGGAUUGGGAUAUCUAAAUAGUGGUCUUCCACACAGACAGCGGUAAGCGGGUUGCAUAUGAUUGGAGUGUCGUGUUCACAUCUAAGG